ACGUAGGGGCCGAGCGUUGUCCGGAGUUACUGGGCGUAAAGCGCGCGCAGGCGGCUCGUCAAGCCUGACGUGAAAGCCCCCGGCUCAACCGGGGAGGGUCGUCGGGGACUGGCGGGCUUGAGGUCGGCAGGGGUUGGUGGAAUUCCCGGUGUAGUGGUGAAAUGCGUAGAGAUCCGGAGGAACACCAGAGGCGAAGGCGACACCCUGGGCCGUACCUGACGCUAAGACGCGACAGCACGGGGAGCGAACGG
Molecule: ribosomal RNA, 251 nt
Filed under: uncultured prokaryote
Description: partial 16S ribosomal RNA
Rfam family: Bacterial small subunit ribosomal RNA
Source: RNAcentral